CUGAAAAAGAAAAUAAAUCACUCAACUCGCAGUUCAUCCACCCCGUGCUCCAAACACUGUGGCUCAUCCCGUGUGCAGUCUGGCGCGAGGGAGGCAGGGGCGACAGUGGCCUCAGCGGAGUGGUCACCGCUGAGAUUCAGGACAGGCCAGUUCCUGGGGAAGGAGCAGAGCAAAGGAUAGGGUGUCCAGGGCCGUGCCCCGAGAGGGGCAGGGAGAGAGGAGCGGCCAGCAAGAGACAGAAGCCCCCGCCACAGAGGAGUGGGACAGGUGUUUGCAAAACGGACACAAAGUUGCAGCACCGGGGUCGCAGGGGGGUCAGGGUGUGGCCGAAAUUCUGUGUCCGUCCCCAGGGACUUUGGUGGCGUGGCUUUCUGGAUCUGUGCCCGGUGGUUUAUGCUUGAUCACAGCUGGUGGUUUCACCUCAGGAUGCCCUGCGGGAACUCAGGCAUUCCGUACAUUACAAAUGUGGGGCCUGGCACAGCUAUGCCCGGGCACCUGCCCGGACCCACAACACACACACACACACAGAGUGAUGAUGUCACAGAAAGGAACUGCUUUGGGGUUCUCAGCAGACCCGCCCAGAAGCACUGUCACCAUGACAGGAACUGAAAGGAUGUCAACAUUCCCGAAAGGAGAAUUAUUAGAAGAAACGCAUCAUCCCAUCAGCCCUUUGGUUUUGCUUUCUAGACUCUGACAGCGGCCCCACCUCUGUCGCUGGGAGCAAGUCACUAAAAAAAUCCGCGAUGCGGUCACUCUGGGCACCGGGGGCAAUCAGGUGGCUCAGGACGCAGACCUUCAGAAGAGCAAAAACCUUGUUACCGGUGGCGUGCCCUCUGGUCUUCCCAGGACAUGGAUCCUCUUACCGCCUACGUUCUGGUCACUCACUGCAAAGCAACUUCCCGACGUGGAGACAUGCUGGGCCAGUCUUGUCUGCAUUCGAGGGGGCAGCCGGGGGGCAGGAGGGAGCAGACAGUGCACCGGACCAGGGCUGAGGCCAGGCUGCGGCUAAUCAGACCAGAUGCUUCCGCCCUACCCGGGAGUCGUGUCGUGUCGUGUCGUGCCGUGUGCGGGGUGUGCAGAUGUCUCAGCCCAGCAGGCCCAGGGAGCCUGGGCCAGGCCACGCCCACACGGCUGCUGAAGGGGACUCAGGGACGGGUCACCCGAAGCCUGCCCUCCGGGGGCUCCGUGUCCUGCGUCGGGGAUUUCCUCCAGGGUACAGACACCUGUCCUCUCGCCUCCUGCCUCGCUGGUCCCUGCUGCCCAGAGAGACCCUCCCCUCCCCGGACCUCCUCUGCCCUUGGACACUCCUUGAGGCUUCCAGGUAGGAAGGGCCUUUGUCAGAACAGAGAAACCAAAACCUAAACUUGCCCCCGAGGACUUAGGGAUAUGGCAGUUGGCAGAGAAGUUCUUCCCACGUUGAUGCCCGUGAGGGUGGCACGAGGGGCCUGAGUCUAGAAAGGGGUGGGGCCCAUCGAUGCCAACUCAGCAGCUUCCAGGAGCUCUGAUGGCAUAUAAGGCUCCCAGGUCCUUACAGGGCACCCCGAGGGGAGGACAUAGACCGUGACCAGGCAGAGAAGCAGCGGACAGAGAGCCGGAGACGGUGAAGGGACUGACAUGGAGGCUGGCGCCCGGGGCCUGGGACAGUUGCCUGCUGGACAAGGACACCUUCCUGGAAAACUUCCACCUUGAGUGGUGGCCAAAUAAGGCCUACCUCUGCUAAGAGACGGAGCUCCCCAGGGGUGACCCCGGGGUCCCUCUGGGCCAACACAAGGACAUCCUGUGCAAUAAGCAAAUGACACAACGCUUUCCUGCCUCCUCUGUGCUCGGCCUGCCCCAGGGAGGUCAGCCGGACUGCCACGCGGAGUUACGCCGGCUGCAGCGGAUCCAGGCCUGGGAGCUGCUUUCCGUCCUGGAGAACAGACACGUGACCCCACACCCCUUCGCCUCCCGCCUCUAUACCGAGGAAGGAUUUCAGAAUGGGUUGCGCCUCCUGCGGGGGGCCGGGGCCCGCAUCGCCAUCAUGACCUCCACCGGUCCGUGUGGAGCUCCCGGGGUGGGCGGUGGGCAGGGAGAGGCCUGGGGGGACUGGCUACGAAGGCGUGGGCAGGAGUGGAAUCCCUGGCGGAAGCGUCUGGUGGCGGCACGGGCCAGGCUGACCUGGGACGGCAGGGGACAGCGGAGCGUGCUGGAAGAGAGAGUUGGGGCCAGGAGAGGAGUCCGGAACGAGCGGGAGAAUAGCGGACGUGCAAGAGAGACAUGGGGUGUCCCGAGAGGAGGGGAAUCCGGCUGGCCGAGACUGCAGGCUGAAGAAAGAGUCCCGGGGGUGAAAGGAGUCAGUCGCCGGGAGGACAGAGGGCAGCGGCACCGUUAUGAAGGGCAAAGCCUGUCCCUGAGAGUCAGACACCCUGUGGCCACCCCUGUGGCCCAGCUCUCCCGCCCCGCCCCGCCCCGCCCCACUGCAGAGUUUGAGCACUGCUGGGAACCCUUCGUGGACAACCAGGGAAGAGCCUUCGAGCCCCGGGACACGCUGGUCUCCCAGAGUCAGGACCUCGCUGAGACGCUGCAGGUCACAGGGAUCUAGAGACCAAAAACCUCCUCCUACAAGCCAUCCUGUCAGCAGCACUGACUGGAAGUGACAGCCACGCUCUGCAAGAGAAGAGGAAGGAGUCUGCUGGAGAGGAACCUCCCCUCUGAGGUCAGGUGGGGGCGGGAGGCUCUCCAGUCCUCACCCCUCCUGACUGGCCUGCCCCCGAGAGGAAGCCAGAGGGAGGGACUUCCAUGCCCAGAAGGCGAGCUCUGCCCCUUCCUGACACAGGGCACCCGGUGCACAGACAAGGGACUGGACGGGCAGGGGACCGGGACCGGCACCGAGGCGGGAUCCCCCCCUGCCGCCGGGCUCACUGUGGCCCUCGUGCCGGCUCCGUGGAAUCCAGAGCCCGCUGAGUGGAGCCCCGGCUGCUGGUGGGCGUGCACGAGGCCUUCCCGAAGGACAGCAAGAGUCCCCGGUACCUCCUCACACACUUCUGCUCACCUCUCAGGGCCCAAACGGUGUCACAGCCUCCCUCACACGGUGACCUAAGGGGUGAGGGAGGGGAAUCCUUUAGGGAGAGACCUUGGAGGGACAGAGAGGAAGGGAUAGAUGGCCAUGGCCGUCGGGGAGGAGGAGACCCAGUCAGGGAGGGCUGGCACCCCAAAGGGGAAGACCUGGCCAAGCAAAGUGACAAAGACAUGGAAGGAAAGGGGGGCAGAGGGGCAAAGCAGGGCACAGGGCCACCGUGGAUGAUGGGGCAGGAGGAGCCCAGGGAUAAAGGGGCUGCCAGCGACAGUAGAUGCCUGGAGGGGGUGGAAGUUGGGGUCAUAUGACAGGAGACAGGCUGCUGCGGUUCCUGGCUCUCCUCCCCUGCGCCCCGGGGAUGGUGAUGCAGCCAAUGUCUCCUGGGCUCGUGGGCCGGAGGCAGCCCGGGGCCACCAGGGAGGGGACGUGAGCCAGGACGUGGCGUGAAAGGGAAGAGGGCCCCUCCCCAGGGUCUGGAUGAAACCAGCGAGCAGAAGCCCCCAGGAGCCCUGGCUUCCAGAAUCCGGCAGCUGGCUGGCGCCUGGGCUGCAGGAGGCUCAGGGCCACAGUUAGCAUGUCUGUGGGACUCAGCUCGUGUGCAGGUGCCCAGCAAGGUGAGGGGGAAGCGGGAUACGAAGCGCACACUCCCGGCCCGGUGCGGCGCGGUCGCCUGGGUUCCCCGGGGGAUGCGCGCCGGACCUCAGGACACGUGGGGGGGGACCUGCCGCCCUGGCAGGCCACUCAACCGCCAGUCACCUGGGGCCGAGGGCUCUUCUGCGAUCGGGUGGCCAGCCUGGCCGGCUCUGUGAGUGCCGUGUGGCCGGGAGCCGUGCCACUGGCGGCAGGCUGGCUGGCUGCCUGUUCAAGAAUUCGCUCUUCUCUUUCUGGUGGGGGACGAAUUCACAGCACGUGCCUGACGCAUAUGCCCUUCGAACGUCUCCAUUCUUCCAUCUUGACGGCUCUCCCCUAUGUUUUAAGUUGACGUUUGACUUCUCUACUGUGCCUGAGUGUUUGUGAGCCCCAGAACUCCGGGUGGGGUCCCAGGCCCCCAGCCGUGGUCCCCUCCCUCAGCAGGGCACGGGGAACAGGGGGGGUCUGGGACCAGGGCUGUCCCCCGUGUGUAUUCCCAUGUCACCGGCUCUCCUAACACCCACGGCUGCGGUGGGAUUUUUAAUGACCGUUUUCCUCAAUGUAAUUAAGUAGAAUUUCAUGUACAAUAUUAAAAUAAAAUGUAGAAGUUAAAUUUUAAAAAAGGGAAGGAAAGAAAGAGAGAAAGGAACACAUGCAGGUCUUGAGCCGUGCACCCUCCUCCUGUACGAUGACCCCAGGUCAGCUGGUCGCCUGCAGUCCCCCGGGCUGGAGCCUGGGGUCACCUUGACUCUCCGGGGGGGCCCCCCUCCGCAUCCUUGCUCUUUCUGUCUCUGGUGCUGGAGGCCCCUGAGCGUGCGCCACCGCGGGACCCGGGAGCCGACCCGGGAUCCCGAGCUGGUUCCCGCGUGGUAAACUUGACGGACUCAGCGCGAGGCAGGAACGAGGGAGAACAAGCAGCACUCGCCGAGCGCCGGCUGUCCACCAGGCUCUGUGGCUCGUGCCUGAACGGACGCGAGCGGAGCGGCUCUUUGAAACCCCCCAGCCCGCCGGCCCAGCCGUGAGGACGGGUCCUUCCCAGGUGCCCUGCGCCCGGGAGGAAACAGAGGCUCUGGGGUCAGAGGUCACAAGCAGAGCUGGGGGCUGACCCACGUGCCCACGUGCUGGGCCCACGGGCCCCAACUCUGAGCCCGGGAAGGUGAGGAAAGCCCGACAUCGGGCACCCAGGCUUCUUUGCGAGUAGAGAAGUGUGUGCGAUUUUACGAGCAAUUUCCUUAUCUCAGAUACAACGUUCAAAAAGAAAAAAAGAAAAGGGCUCCCUUCUAGGCGGAGAGGAAGUGAUAGUCUCCUACCGGAAACUAUCACUUCUCAGAAAGGAAGUCCACAUGUCCUUUAAUUUAACAGGCAGAACUUUCCAAACAAUCUAAGUCACUCCCGUGUGACCAAGGUGGAAGGCAGUCCUGGGCCGUGCCCUCAGCUCAGGGGCCAAGACCAGACUUCAGGGUCCACAGGCAGGUAGAUGGGAGUCUGUGGGACGGAGAGGUGGGGGUCACCUGGACCCUCCCCUGUCUCCUCCAGACCCCGAUCUCCUCGAGGGCGGGACGUGCCUGUCCCUUCCCUGCAUCCCAGGUUCCUGCCAGGGUGGGACCCUGAGUAGGGGCUCCUGGGUACCUAGGAAUGAAUGGCUGAGGGACCCAGUGUAGGACCCAACCAGUGUUGCCCUCCCUGUGUGCAGGAAUCCUGCCACGUGGAAACGUGUACGUGUGUGCGUUCUCGGAGGGCAUCCUGGCGAAGCUGGAAGUGCACAGGUGCCCAGUCCCACGGGGCAUUUCCCGAAACCUUGGUUGUGAAUGUGCCCAGACCUUGCCCACAUUCCUGACUUGAGCCCAGGGACCUCAGCCUGCGGACUUUGUAGCCCGGACUCCACUCCAGGUGGUCCCAGCAGAUGGGCAAGAGGUGGGACCUGGCCCAGGGCUGGGGUCUCCUCGGGGAGGGGGCCCUGGGGAGUCAGCUGUCCAUCAGGGGCGGUGUGCAGGUCCCAGUCAGCCCCCAGAGGGAGGAUUCUGGCCCACGCUGAGAGUGGGGGCAGAGUCCUGGCUUAGGAUUGUAGGUGACACCGGGGACCAUCUCUCAGGGUCCCCGUGAGGGCAAUGAGCUGGACAGGGGUGUUAGUGGCGGGGCGGCCUCUGCUCCCUGCAUGGAAGCUGGCUGUCUCCCCUCCCACCACAGAGGAUGCUGGGCCGACUGGGGGGGGGGGGGGGCGGGGGCAGGGAAGGCCCAUGAGUCCUGGAACAGCCGGCAGGGAGGUGCUGGCAGGCGUCCUGGUGUGGCACACCCUCAGCCCCGCCGCCCCCUCUCCUUCCCGUUUCACCCCUCACUGGCCCUUCCUCCGUCUGGGGGACCCUCCUUUCUAUCGGUCUUCCUUCUGUCCCAGGCUCCUGGUGCACUUUCCCAGUGCCUGGGCCCACAUCAGCUUAGCUCCACUGUCCCCAGUCCCCCCUCCCCUGCCUUCUGUCUCCUUCCCUCACUCCUUAGGCUCCUUGGGGCCAGGCUGGGGCAGGGGAGAAGGGGAGGGAGAAGGGAGGGAGGAGGAGCCUCUGGGGAGACUGGAGUUAGGCUUUUUCUCCUGCUUCAUAAUCCCCAGGUCUAUUUAAACCACAGUUCUGGAAACUAAAUAUAGAACCGCCCUACCAUCCAGCAAUUGCACGAUUAGGUAAUUACCCAAAGGAUGAGAAAAUAGAGAUUUGAAAGGGUGCACGCACCCCAACGUUUAUAACAGCACUAUCAACAACAAACUAUGGAGAGGGCCCAAAUGUCCAAAGACUGGUGAAUGGAUAAAGAGGAUGUGGUGUAGGGGUGCCUGCGUGGCUCAGUCGGUUAAGCAUCCGACUUUGGCUCAGGUCAUGAUCUCACGGUUCAUGU
Molecule: RNA transcript, 6565 nt
Organism: Prionailurus viverrinus (fishing cat)
Lineage: Eukaryota; Metazoa; Chordata; Mammalia; Carnivora; Felidae
Exons: 6
Source: RefSeq, a predicted model, not a curated record